This is a microRNA precursor of Oryza sativa Japonica Group (Japanese rice), 195 nucleotides long. It matches the Rfam family "MIR812 microRNA precursor family". Lineage: Eukaryota; Viridiplantae; Streptophyta; Magnoliopsida; Poales; Poaceae. The record is from Rfam.
AAAAAAAAAAAACCUGAGUCUACGUAUCCAAUAUUUGACUGUCCGUUUUAUAUGACAUUUUUUUAUAAUUAGUAUUUUUAUUGUUGUUAGAGGAUAAAACAUGAUUAAUACUUUAUGCGUGACUUAUCUUUUUAAUUUUUUCAAAUAAGACGGACAAUUAAACGUUGGACACGGAAAUAUAGAGUUUGUCUUAUU